GUAAUUAAUAAGCAUAGUUAUUUAUCCAAAAAUACAUUUCUAUCUGCCAUGGCAGUCUACAAGAGCCCCUCGUCUUUUCCCAGCCGUUGUUCUAAUAUUUGUACAAAAAAUUGCAGAUAAUGGAGUUAUUAGUCCAUCUCUUGUUGCAUGUAGAGCUACUCCUCAGAAGUGGACCAUUCUAGAAGCAACUUAUGAACUCUCUAAACACCACCAAAUUAUUCUGAAUGAAAGAAGUUUUAAGGUUAUUUAUGUUCUAUACUAUAUAUUUAUAUAUAUAUUUUUUAUAUUAUGUGCCGGUGUAUAUUUUUACACUUUUAUAUUAUGUGUCGAUUUAUAUUUUUACACUUUUCCAUAUUCUUAAAAUCUUGUAAAAGCCAAACAAAGAGGGGGAAAAAGCUCAACCUGCGGGAAUGUAAAAACCAUGUUCUCUCAAGAGUCUGAAGAAAAGUGAAAGAUCAUGAAGAGAGUAUCCAUCAAAAGAAGUGGCUUCCAUAUAAUGUCGCCAGAGAACUGAUUCAAUCUCUUCCUGAAAAUGGUAGUCAACACCUAGUCGCUGGAUAGCAUCCACCAACAUUGAGCUUUCUAUUUGAUUUUCUAAUUCCUCUGAUUUCAAUAAUUCCCUGACAUCCUUCAGUUUUUGUUCAUAUUCCGUGGAAAAUUCAUCCUGCAAGUAAGACUGGUUUUUGCUUUACACUUUUUCAUAACUAUUUUUAUGCGGAAAUUUCCAUAACUAUAUAUUUAUAUACUUUUUUAUAUUUUUUAUACUUGAUGAUAGUGACUUGUCGGCGGGACUAUUUCUCCCGGAAAUUGUUGAUGAGAAGAUGAGACCAACUUGUGAAUACCGUAGGGUUAUACAUUAAACUAAAAAUUACUUCCUAAUAGUCACUCCAGAUGAAGUGAAGAAAUUCUUCCAAUAUGAUCCAUACACAGAAGAUGAUAAUGACAUACUUGUGGGAGAUUUCUUUACUGUACAAAAUUAUAAAAGGAUUGAAACCCAAAUAAUUUCAAAUGAGACAAAUAACUUGUUCUCAGGAAAUUAUUCGUCAUUCAACCUGAAGAACUAACAAAUGAAGACGAAAACCAUAUAGAAAUCAAGGAAUAAAUUAUAAGGGGGUAAAUUCAAAGAAGACGAAAUUAACAUGCAAGUCGAUAAGCAGAUCGAAGUCUAGUUAAGUUUGAAUUGAGUGAUUUAGGCUAUUCAUAUCAUAUUCAAAAGGACAAAGUAAGGUUUUGGAAUAUAUACCAAUUAUGGUGUUAAGAUAUUAUUUUUAUUGUAUCUUUUCAGGUAUGAUGAAAAUAUCGUACAAGAAUACGAAAAGAAAGGAGAGUAAAAGUCAAGGGCUAAAGGAGAGACCUUAUAAACACGGUGAGUAUUGCAGCCCUUUCUUUAAACCUAUUUUGUGCACACAUUAAGUACAAAGUGUAUAAAAAUAUUGCCUUAUUUUAUUUUGAUAAUCUGAGUUGGUUAGGCUUGCUGGCCUAACGAUUAUGGUUAUUUGAAAUUUCUUAUGAAGCAUAAAUUGAGACUAGGUAAUGUAUUUAUUUAUUUUGCUAAUUUGAUACUUAUACAUUUUUUAUCGUAUUCAAUAGAGUAUAUAAUCAUGAUAAUGAAUAUGAAUUUUUGGAUUGUUUACGGUAAUACAAUAUGUUGAAUGAACUUUACGUCUGUUUCAAUCCUACCUACUACUGGAAUAUAAAUAUAAAAAAACAACCACUUGACCAACUGGAAUGACUAGUUUGGGGAUGGUUGAUCUGUAUUGAAAAUCCUACCUACUACAAAAGAGAGGAUGGAGUUUUACUGUUCAUUUUUGGGCCAUUUUCACACUAGGAUUGGUUUCAAACUGGUUCAUUCUGUUGUUUUAAUAACGCAUGGGUCGACUUUGACCAAUAAAUAAUGAAAUUGAGAAAACGCAGCUAAAAAUGGACAUAAGUAUUUACGUGAUUCACCCAAAUUUUGGCUACGUUCACGGGCAAGUAUAGGAGGAUUUUACUAUAGUAGGAGAAUUACAACAACUCUCUAAAUACAAGGGGAUACCAACAAUUAAUAUCUCUUUUAAUAGAAAAAACAAGUAGGAAAUACUAUAGGAAGAAACAAUAAUUUUUCUCUCUAUUUUUAUCUCUCUACUCACAAUUUUCUCUCCACUCAAUAUUUUCUUUUCUCUCAAUUUUUUUCUCUCCAACACGGCUUAUUUCACUUGGCGUGUUAAUUCUCUAUUUAUAGAGAAAUUUGGCUUCAAACCGUCUCACUUUGUUUGGCUCAAAACUUGCCAUCAAGGUGCAUAUGAAAGAGGAGAGUAGGAUGCAUGUGAGAGCCUGGUUGGAGAAUUAAUAGCCUUGCAUGUGGGAGACUUGUUCAUAAAGAAAGUGGCUGGACCAAAGCUCAAAAAUUCCACUGCCUAUGUAUUAAAUGCUUGCAUGAAUUUUGUCAUUUUGUAGUUAAAAUUUGUGGCUUUAAUUUUCAACAUUUCUCCCACUUAAAGUCACUUUUGUUGACCACUUCAAUCCUACCCAUACUUGCCAUUUCCAUGCCACUUACGUUUCUGCCAAGCCGAUAGAGGAUCGACACCAAAUGAACUUGUCAGUACCGAUUGGCUUUGUCAACAUAUCUGCUAGGUUGUCCAUUGUAUGGAUUUUCUAUAUAUCCACACUUCCUUUUUCUACCUUCUCUCGAACAAAGUGAUACUAGACUCGAAUAUGCUUUGUCCUCUGAUGAAAUACUGGAUUCUUUACCAAAUGCAAAGCACUCUGACUAUCACAAAAUAGAGUAAUCUUCUCUUGUUUGUGUCCGAGCUCCUCCAUUAACAUUUGUAACAAGAUUGUCUCUUUCCUGGCUUGUGUAGCUGCCACGUAUUCUGCUCCGUCGUAGAAGUAGCCACGAUAGGCUGUAGUUUCGAAACCCAGCCUACAGCUCCUCCAGCAAGAGUAAACACAUAUCCAGUGGUGGACUUACUUUUGUCAAGAUCACCUGCAUAAUCUGAAUCAACAUAGCCUCUGACAAUAAAAUCUGAUCCGCCAUAACAUAAUGUAACAUUUGAGGUACCCUUGACAUAUCUCAGGAUCCUCUUUACAGUACUCCAAUGCUCUUUAUCAAGAUUUGCCAUGUAUCGACUAACCACUCCUACUGCUUGUGCAAUGUCUGGUCUUGUACAGAUCAUAACAAACAUCAGGCUACCCACUACUGAUGCAUACGGUACUCGAGACAUCUCCACUUUCUCUGCUUCUUUGCUAGGACUCAUACUUGAGGAUAACUUAAAAUUAAUAGGAAGAGGGGUAGAAAUUGGCUUACAAUCUUUCAUAUUGAAGCGAUGCAAGAUUUUCUUCAAGUAGUUCUUCUAAUUAAGCCAAAUCUUUCUAUUAUUUCUGUCUCGAUAAAUUUGCAUCCCUAGAAUCUUGUUUGUUGGUCCCAAGUCCUUCAUUUCAAACUCCCUAGCUAACUGUGCCAUCAAAUUAUCAAUACGAUCUUUGUUCGAGCCUAUUACCAACAUGUCAUCAACAUACAACAGCAGAAUAAUGAAAUCAUUAUCACCAAAUCUCAUCUAGUAUGCACAUGGAUCUUAACUAAGUUUGUUGUAUCCAAGGCUCAUGAUGAAGGAAUCAAAUCUCUUAUACCAACAUCUCGGCACCUGUUUGAGACCGUAUAGAGAUUUGUUCAACCUGCAAACCAAGUUCUCUUUUCCUUUUUCUUCAAAACCUUCUGGUUGGAGCAUAUAAAUCUCUUCUUCAAGUUCUCCAUGAAGAAAUGCAAUUUUUACAUCUAAUUGCUCGAAGUGUAAGUCAAAUGUAGUACACAUUCCCAAGACUACUCGAAUUGUUGUGGUCGAACCACAGGAAAAAAUAUUUCGUUGAAGUCUAUGCCUUCUUUCUGAGCAUACCCUUUCACCACCAGUCUCGCACGAUACCGCUCCACUUGGUCAUUGCUAUCUCGUUUUAUCUUAUAGACCCAUUUAUUCCCAAUGGCCUUCCUUCCAUGUGGUAGUGGAACAAGAUUCCAUGUCUUGUUCUUAUGAAGAGUUUCAAUUUCUUCUUGCAUUACAGCCAUCCACUGAGAAACUUCUUGGCUAUUUAUAGCCUCAUGAAAAGUUGAUGGCUCUCCAUCUUCUGUCAAUAAGUAGUAUGCAACAUUACCCUCCAUAAUGUAAUAUGAGUGCCAAGCCAGUUCUCUUCUCUUCCGUGUUGAUCGUUGAACAUUUGGAGCACCAGAUUCAGCUUGUUCUUCAUGUUCUAGUGUUGCUUCAGAAGAAUCUAUAUCUACUCGUUCGUCUCCAACUUCGACUGUAGUAGUCUCUGGUUUUUCUUUUGAAGUGCUAUCAUUUCCUUUUUCCUGUGUUUUGGCUUCUGCAAAUAUGACAUCUCUACUGAUUAUCACCUUAUGGGUAGUGGGAUCCCCCAGGCGGUACCCCUUAACUCCAUUAGGAUACCCUAAGAAAAUACAUUUUCUAGAUUUUGGAUCCAGCUUUGAUGUUUCUUGGGUGUUUUACAUAACGUACACAGGACUUCCAAAUAUACGUAAGUGAGAAUAAUUAGCCGGUUUAUUAGUCCACAUUUCCAUCGGUGUCUUCAAGUCAAUUGCGGUUGAUGGCGACUGAUUGAUCACAUAACAGGUAGUUUUGACUGCUUCUGCCCAGAAUGACUUGGCUAACUUUGAAGUUCUCAACAUUGCUCUUGUUCUUUCUAACAAUGUUCUGUUCAUCCGCUCUGCCACUCCAUUUCGCUGUAGAGUGUAUGCCACUAUGAACUGUCUCUUGAUACCUUCUUGUUGACAGAAGUUAUCAAAUUAAUCACCAGUAUAUUCUUUUCCAUUGUCAGUCCUCAGACACUUGAUCUUCUUUUCAAAUUCAAGCUCCACAUGUGCUUUGAAUACUUUGAAGACUACAAACACGUCUGCCUUUCUCUUAAUUGGAUACACCCAACGUCUCCUGGAGUAAUCAUCAAUAAAAGAUACAAAGUAUCUUGCACCUCCUAGGGACAUAACCGGUGCUUGCCAAACUCGAAAUGGACCAGUUCCAAGAUAGCUUUACUUCUAGGAGUAGAACCAUUGAACUUCAAUCUGUGCUAUUUACUAGUAAUACAAUGCUCACAAAAGGGUAAUGAAACCUUUUUGAGACCUGGAAGAAGCUUUUGUUCUGAGAGAAUUUUCAAACCACGUUCCGACAUGUGACCAAGCUUGCGAUGCCACAUCAUCGUUAAUUCUUCUGCUGAACCUGUCGAUGCGACAGAUGCUUCUCCUUCUUAUAGUGUUUUCCUUUAAGCAUGUACAAAUUUGCAGCUAUCUUUUCUGCUUUUAUCACCACAAGCGCGCCUCUAAUUAUUUUCAUAAUCCCAUCUUGUAUAUGGGUUUUGCAACCAAUGCUAUCUAAUUGUCCUAAAGACAAUAGAUUUUUCUUCAAGCCUUUUACGCGCCGUACCUCCUGAAUAGUGCAAAUUGUAUCAUCAUACAUUUUCAAUUUGAUGGUACCAAUACCAGCGAUCUCCAAGGCACAAUCAUUUUCCAUAAACACAGAUCCUCCUGGAAUAAUCUCAUAUUGAUGGAACCAUUCCCUCAUUGGUGUCAUGUGCCAUGUAGCUCCUGAAUACAUAAGCCAGACAUUAGAAAAUUUAUUUCUGCCUUCAACAAUUGUUGUUGCCUCGCUGUACAAAAUUUCACCAUCAUCUGAGGUGCUUGCUACACAACCCUGAGCUUUUGACAUCUCAGGACCUUUUUCUUUGGCUUCUUCAUUCUUCUUAAAGCUCCAACAAUCCCUUUUUAAAUGCCCUUUCUUGCCACAGUAAUGACACUUGACAUUUUUAUUACUCUUGAAUUUUGAUCUACUCUGAUUAUGACUCCCACUGGAGCCACGUUCCGUUGAUCUCUCUCUCAUCAUCAUUAAAGCUUCCACCUGAUGCAAACUUGUCGAUCUAUCCUCCUCAUUUUUUUUGCCGACUUUCUUCUUCAAGAACAGCAGCUACAAUAAGACUAGAGUUUCAAGGUUGUUGGUUAAGUUGAUGAUGAGUAGAUCAUACGAAUCUGGCAGACUUUGAAGUAAGAUUUCAGCACGUUCACCCGCCUCUAUAUUAUACUCCAUUGAUGUGAGCUGUGAAAAUAAAGUGUUGAGGGUGUUGAUGUGGUCGGUCACCGUAGUUGACUCCAUCAUCCGAAGGGUGUAAAGCUUCCUCUUCAAGAAGAUUUUGUUGUGUAACGAUUUGGCCUCGUACUGUUUUGUCAGCAUAUCCCAUAUAUUCUUUCGCCGUCUUUUUCUCUACCAUACUUGACAAUACUCCAUCGGCUAGUGCAAGGUGCAGAUUAGCAACUGCAUUGCUAUCCAUCUCGUUCCACUUAGUAUCAUCAAUGAUCUUCACAGGCCUUUGUCCAAUUGCCGCCAAGCAGUUAUCUUUCCGCAAAACUGCUUUUAUUCUCAUUUUCCAUAAUGAGAAAUUAUUCCCAUUGAACUUUUCAAUCUCAUACUUUGUCGCCAUUUUGUUCACCAAUAAUAUAACUAAACAACGACCCUACACAGAACCUUGCUCUGAUACCACUGUUGUUUUAAUAACGCGUGGGUCGACUUUGACUAACAAAUAAUGAAAUUGAGAAAACGCGGCUAAAAAUGGAUACAAGUAUUUACGUGAUUCACCCAAAUUUUGGCUACGUCCACAGGCAAAUAUAUGAGGAUUUUACUAUAGUAGGAGAAUUAUAAAAACUCUCUAAAUACAAGGAGAUACCAACAAUUAAUCUCUCUUGUAAUAGAAAAAACAAGUAGGAAAUACUAUAGGAAGAAACAAUAAUUUUUCUCUCUAUUUUUAUCUCUCUACUCACAAUUUUCACUCUACUCAAUCUUUUCUUUUCUCUCAAUUUUUUUCUCUCCAACACGGCUUAUUUCACUUGGCAUGUUAGUUCUCUAUUCAUAGAGAAAUUUGGCUUCAAACNGUAGAAGUAGCCACGAUAGACUGUAGUUUCGAAACCCAGCUUACAGCUCCUCCAGCAAGAGUAAACACAUAUCCAGUGAUGGACUUACUUUUGUCAAGAUCACCUGCAUAAUCUGAAUCAACAUAGCCUCUGACAAUAAAAUCUGAUCCGCCAUAACAUAAUGUAACAUUUGAGGUACCCUUGACAUAUCUCAGGAUCCUCUUUACAGUACUCCAAUGCUCUUUAUCAAGAUUUGCCAUGUAUCGACUAACCACUCCUACUGCUUGUACAAUGUCUGGUCUUGUACAGAUCAUAACAAACAUCAGGCUACCCACUACUGAUGCAUACGGUACUCUAGACAUCUCCACUUUCUCUGCUUCUUUGCUAGGACUCAUACUUGAGGAUAACUUAAAAUUAAUAGGAAGAGGGGUAGAAAUUGGCUUACAAUCUUUCAUAUUGAAGCGAUGCAAGAUUUUCUUCAAGUAGUUCUUCUAAUUAAGCCAAAUCUUUCUAUUAUUUCUGUCUCGAUAAAUUUGCAUCCAUAGAAUCUUGUUUGUUGGUCCCAAGUCCUUCAUUUCAAACUCCCUAGCUAACUGUGCCAUCAAAUUAUCAAUACGAUCUUUGUUCGAGCCUAUUACCAACAUGUCAUCAACAUACAACAGCAGAAUAAUGAAAUCAUUAUCACCAAAUCUCAUCUAGUAUGCACAUGGAUCUUAACUAAGUUUGUUGUAUCCAAGGCUCAUGAUGAAGGAAUCAAAUCUCUUAUACCAACAUCUCGGCACCUGUUUAAGACCGUAUAGAGAUUUGUUCAACCUGCAAACCAAGUUCUCUUUUCCUUUUUCUUCAAAACCUUCUGGUUGGAGCAUAUAAAUCUCUUCUUCAAGUUCUCCAUGAAGAAAUGCAAUUUUUACAUCUAAUAGCUCGAAGUGUAAGUCAAAUGUAGUACACAUUCCCAAGACUACUCGAAUUGUUGUGGUCGAACCACAGGAAAAAAUAUUUCGUUGAAGUCUAUGCCUUCUUUCUGAGCAUACCCUUUCACCACCAGUCUCGCACGAUACCGCUCCACUUGGUCAUUGCUAUCUCGUUUUAUCUUAUAGACCCAUUUAUUCCCAAUGGCCUUCCUUCCAUGUGGUAGUGGAACAAGAUUCCAUGUCUUGUUCUUAUGAAGAGUUUCAAUUUCUUCUUGCAUUACAGCCAUCCACUGAGAAACUUCUUGGCUAUUUAUAGCCUCAUGAAAAGUUGAUGGCUCUCCAUCUUCUGUCAAUAAGUAGUAUGCAACAUUACCCUCCAUAAUGUAAUAUGAGUGCCAAGCCAGUUCUCUUCUCUUCCGUGUUGAUCGUUGAACAUUUGGAGCACCAGAUUCAGCUUGUUCUUCAUGUUCUAGUGUUGCUUCAGAAGAAUCUAUAUCUACUCGUUCGUCUCCAACUUCGACUGUAGUAGUCUCUGGUUUUUCUUUUGAAGUGCUAUCAUUUCCUUUUUCCUGUGUUUUGGCUUCUGCAAAUAUGACAUCUCUACUGAUUAUCACCUUAUGGGUAGUGGGAUCCCCCAGGCGGUACCCCUUAACUCCAUUAGGAUACCCUAAGAAAAUACAUUUUCUAGAUUUUGGAUCCAGCUUUGAUGUUUCUUGGGUGUUUUACAUAACGUACACAGGACUUCCAAAUAUAUGUAAGUGAGAAUAAUUAGCCGGUUUAUUAGUCCACAUUUCCAUCGGUGUCUUCAAGUCAAUUGCGGUUGAUGGCGACUGAUUGAUCACAUAACAGGUGGUUUUGACUGCUUCUGCCCAGAAUGACUUGGCUAACUUUGAAGUUCUCAACAUUGCUCUUGUUCUUUCUAACAAUGUUCUGUUCAUCCGCUCUGCCACUCCAUUUCGCUGUAGAGUGUAUGCCACUAUGAACUGUCUCUUGAUACCUUCUUGUUGACAGAAGUUAUCAAAUUAAUCACCAGUAUAUUCUUUUCCAUUGUCAGUCCUCAGACACUUGAUCUUCUUUUCAAAUUCAAGCUCCACAUGUGCUUUGAAUACUUUGAAGACUACAAACACGUCUGCCUUUCUCUUAAUUGGAUACACCCAACGUCUCCUGGAGUAAUCAUCAAUAAAAGAUACAAAGUAUCUUGCACCUCCUAGGGACAUAACCGGUGCUUGCCAAACUCGAAAUGGACCAGUUCCAAGAUAGCUUUACUUCUAGGAGUAGAACCAUUGAACUUCAAUCUGUGCUAUUUACUAGUAAUACAAUGCUCACAAAAGGGUAAUGAAACCUUUUUGAGACCUGGAAGAAGCUUUUGUUCUGAGAGAAUUUUCAAACCACGUUCCGACAUGUGACCAAGCUUGCGAUGCCACAUCAUCGUUAAUUCUUCUGCUGAACCUGUCGAUGCGACAUAUGCUUCUCCUUCUUAUAGUGUUUCUCCUUUAAGCAUGUACAAAUUUGCAGCUAUCUUUUUUGCUUUUAUCACCACAAGCGCGCCUCUGAUUAUUUUCAUAAUCCCAUCUUGUAUAUGGGUUUUGCAACCAAUGCUAUCUAAUUGUCCUAAAGACAAUAGAUUUUUCUUCAAGCCUUUUACGUGCCGUACCUCCUGAAUAGUGCAAAUUGUAUCAUCAUACAUUUUCAAUUUGAUGGUACCAAUACCAGCGAUCUCCAAGGCACAAUCAUUUUCCAUAAACACAGAUCCUCCUGGAAUAAUCUCAUAUUGAUGGAACCAUUCCCUCAUUGGUGUCAUGUGCCAUGUAGCUCCUGAAUCCAUAAGCCAGACAUUAGAAAAUUUAUUUCUGCCUUCAACAAUUGUUGUUGCCUCGCUGUACAAAAUUUCACCAUCAUCUGAGGUGCUUGCUACACAACCCUGAGCUUUUGACAUCUCAGGACCUUUUUCUUUGGCUUCUUCAUUCUUCUUAAAGCUCCAACAAUCCCUUUUUAAAUGCCCUUUCUUGCCACAGUAAUGACACUUGACAUUUUUAUUACUCUUGAAUUUUGAUCUACUCUGAUUAUGACUCCCACUGGAGCCACGUUCCGUUGAUCUCCCUCUCAUCAUCAUUAAAGCUUCCACCUGAUGCAAACUUGUCGAUCUAUCCUCCUCAUUUUUUUUGCCGACUUUCUUCUUCAAGAACAGCAGCUACAAUAAGACUAGAGUUUCAAGGUUGUUGGUUAAGUUGAUGAUGAGUAGAUCAUACGAAUCUGGCAGACUUUGAAGUAAGAUUUCAGCACGUUCACCCGCCUCUAUAUUAUGCUCCAUUGAUGUGAGCUGUGAAAAAAAAGUGUUGAGGGUGUUGAUGUGGUCGGUUACCGUAGUUGACUCCAUCAUCCGAAGGGUGUAAAGCUUCCUCUUCAAGAAGAUUUUGUUGUGUAACGAUUUGGCCUCGUACUGUUUUGUCAGCAUAUCCCAUAUUUCUUUCGCCGUCUUUUUCUCUACCACACUUGACAAUACUCCAUCGGCUAGUGCAAGGUGCAGAUUAGCAACUGCAUUGCUAUCCAUCUCGUUCCACUUAGUAUCAUCAAUGAUCUUCACAGGCCUUUGUCCAAUUGCCGCCAAGCAGUUAUCUUUCCGCAAAACUGCUUUUAUUCUCAUUUUCCAUAAUGAGAAAUUAUUCCCAUUGAACUUUUCAAUCUCAUACUUUGUCGCCAUUUUGUUCACCAAUAAUAUAACUAAACAACGACCCUACACAGAACCUUGCUCUGAUACCACUGUUGUUUUAAUAACGCGUGGGUCGACUUUGACUAACAAAUAAUGAAAUUGAGAAAACGCGGCUAAAAAUGGAUACAAGUAUUUACGUGAUUCACCCAAAUUUUGGCUACGUCCACGGGCAAAUAUAUGAGGAUUUUACUAUAGUAGGAGAAUUAUAAAAACUCUCUAAAUACAAGGAGAUAUCAACAAUUAAUCUCUCUUGUAAUAGAAAAAACAAGUAGGAAAUACUAUAGGAAGAAACAAUAAUUUUUCACUCUAUUUUUAUCUCUCUACUCACAAUUUUCACUCUACUCAAUCUUUUCUUUUCUCUCAAUUUUUUUCUCUCCAACACGGCUUAUUUCACUUGGCAUGUUAGUUCUCUAUUCAUAGAGAAAUUUGGCUUCAAACUGUCUCACUUUGUUUCGCUCAAAACCUGCCAUCAAGGUGCAUAUGAAAGAGGAGAGUAGGAUGUAUAUGAGAACCUCGUUAGACAAUUAAUAGCCUUGCAUGUGGGAGACUUGUUCAUGAAGAAAGUGGCUGGACCAAAGCUCAAAAAUUCCACUGCCUAUGUAUUAAAUGCUUGCAUGAAUUUUAUCAUUUUGUAGUCAACAUUUGUGGCUUUAAUUUUCAACACAUUCACUGUUGUCAACUGGUUUUUCUACUAUUCAUCAAUAAACAUCUCACUAUUGUCCUCUUGCAUGUCUCUUCUCAACCCACUUUCUUCCUCUUUCGCUUCUUUUUCUCUUUCGCUUCUUUUCCCACCAUCUUCAAAUUUUUCCCAGAAUUCCUUCGUAGAAAAUAAUCAUAGCUCUCUUUUUUUCAAUUCUCUAACCACGUUUACAUUUUUCCCCGAAUCACAACAAUAUAGGUUCUCGAAAAGGAAAACAAUUAAAUACAUAAUUCUGUGCUUUCCGUAACUGAAUCCAUUUCCUUUUCGAUAAUGGAAGAAUAAAAUUAUGUUGCCGGUCUCAGACGAUGUGCCGGAGCGGAGGUUGUGAGAACAUCGGAGGCUACGGUGAUGAUGUUGGUUUCCUGCUCUUUUUCGUCUGCAUUUUUCACUUUAGUUUGUAAAAGGUCUCGGGUAUACUUGUUUAUGUAUAUUUUCUAUAACAUAUUUUAUACAUAAUUUUUUUUAUAUUAUGUGUAAAAAGAAGUUUUAAGAACAUGGUUUUUACACUUUAUAUAUUUUUAUAUUUUUUUAUAUUAUGUGUCGAGGAAAUUUCUGCACAAAAAUAGUUAUGGAAAAGUGUAAAGCAAAAACCAAUCUUACUUGCAGGAUGAAUUUUCCACGGAAUAUGAACAAAAACUGAAGGAUGUCAAGGAAUUAUUGAAAUCAGAGGAAUUAGAAAAUCAAAUAGAAAGCCUAAUGUUGGUGGAUGCUAUCUAGCGUCUAAGUGUUGACUACCAUUUUCAGGAAGAGAUUGAAUCAGUUCUUCGGUGACAUUAUAAGGAAGCCACUUCUUUUGAUGGAUACACUCUUCAUGAUCUUUCACUUUUCUUCAGACUCUUGAGAGAACAUGAUUUUUACAUUCCCGCAGGUUGAGCUUUUUCCCCCUCUUUGUUUGGUGCUUGUUUUUGUUAAUUACCCAUGACUAGGGCUGGGCAAAUCUCCCGAACCGAACCGACCGAACCGAACCCGAACCGAACCGAUCCGAACCCGACGGUUCUUGUCAAAUUAAAUACCCGAACGGGUAUCUGAAUUGAGAACCGACGGGUACGGUUCGGUUCUCGGUUCUAGACCAAGAACCGAAGAACCGAAUAAGAACCGAAUCUUUCUAAUUUUUUUUUAUAUUGAGUAAAUCAAAUUAUUUUAAUUUUAAUUUUUUCUAAACAAAUUAACAAAUUAAUGAUUUCUAAAUCCAAAUUUUUGGCCCAAUAAUUUGUUUCAUUUCUAAUUUUUUAAUUUUUGGCUCAAUUACCCAUUUUAUUGUUUCAUUUCUUAGCCAAACAAAUCAAAUCCACUAAAUAACCCUAAGCACCUACAAUAAAGUGCAUAACAUUGUCUCGACUCUCGCACUCACUCUCGUAGCCUAUCUAAUAUUCCAAAAUCUAUACAAUCGUCGGCCGACACUCUGACCUCCGAUCGAAGCCGUGACUUUCCUCGACUGAAGCUUUGAUCGUAGCGAUCAUUUGAACAAGGUAGUUUACUAAUCUCUGACAUUCCAAAACUAUUGAAUGUAUCAUUAGUCGUAUUUAUAUAACGUUGUUAUAAAUGUUAAAAAAUUUAAUUAUAGUACAGAACCGAACGGAACCGAACCGAUCCGAACCGAACCGAAUGGAACCGAACCCGAACGGUUCCAUAAUUAUAUUUGGACCCGACGGUUCCAUUUACUAGAUACCCGAAAAGUUUGGUUCGGUUCGGUUCUAAAGAGAACCGAACCGAACCGACCCGCGCCCACCCCUACCCAUGACACAGACAUAUUGUUGGAAAUUUACUUAAAUAUGCGCUAUGGAAAUAAAAACAAUUUCAAUUCCCACCAGAAUUCAUCUUUGUAUUUAGAUAAAAAUUGUGAUAAAAGUUAUAUCUUUUCUUAGAUCUGCAAAUUCCUUUGCGUUAUCUUUGUUCCAGCAACUUGGAUUUGCCUCCCACAGCUGUCCAAUUAUCCAGCAUCCAAUGAAUUCUACACAAAUAACAGAUUGUAGGCACUACAGUUUUCUCCUCUUGUGCUAGCAAGAAUUAUGAGAAAAUCUCUACUGAAUUGAAAACUCUAGUCACUUAUUUAUACAAGCCCAAACGGGCUUGGCCUAACUCGAUCCAAUAUUUAAUUAAUCCAUUUAAUUAAAUCCGAUCCGUGAAUUAAUUAAUCCAAAUUCGGGCCUAUAAAUAAUCAGCCCAAUUAAUUAAUUAAUUCAUCCAAUGAUUGUUAAAUUAAUUAAUUUACAAAUUGCAAUCUUCCAAUUCUCUUUUGAGUGCGACCUAUCAAAUUUCUGAUCACGAUACUUAAAGACGUGAAAUAUUAUUUUGAUUUAAUUAAAGUUAAUAAAUUAAAAUAUCCUUUUAAUUUAUCACCAAUUCACAGUCGCAUCCCAGAUUGACAUCUAGCAAUAUAUCAGAACAACACAUGUGACAGGAAAUGUCACGUGGUAUGACAAAACCAAACUUGUUCAUUUACAAUGAAACUAUAAUCCUUUCGUCAAUAUGAUCUGAUCAAUUACGAGAUAUGGAAGUGUGUCAAUCUUGAUUAUCGAUCAUAUCUUUCAUUUUACUAUUAAGUCAAUGAGUCGAAAACUCAUUUUUGACUCAUGAGUAUACCUUGGCCAAAGAUUUCGUUAUCGACUUAAUUGAGCGAAAUGGAGAUCACAAUCUCUUACUAUCUAAGAGUGACGAAUCCUCUAUUGGUCAUUCACAACCUUCAUAUGGUUCUUGACAUACCCGAAUGAUACAGUAUUAGCAGCCCUUGGCAAAGCAACAUCCAACACUGUAAAAGCAUGACUGUCCUCAUACAAAGUACUAUAACGACCUCAAGUCAAAGGACCAAUUCUAUUACCGAACGUUAGAGAUUAACCACUGACACUCAAAUAGUUAUCCAUGUGGAAUCUCUUAGCGGGUCUCCAAUGUUUCGUUCUAUAACAAAACAUCCAUGUGUUCAUUUAAGUGUCACCAUAUUUUAGCUUGUGAGAUCAGCUACUUACUUCACAAGUAGGAAAUGUCACACGUGAUGGUCUAUCUGUAUCUCAUUAUUACUUAUGACUAUGGAUUAUGCAAGAUUCAAUUAUAUAUAAUUUGUAUAUCAAAAUCACAAUUACUUGUGAUUACCAAAUUACUUAAACUUGAAUCUUCGGACUCUAUUAUUUAAUAUUAUUUAUCAGAAUAAUAAUUUAAAUAAAUAAUUGAUCUUGCCAAAAUUAAAUGCAUUAAAUAUAUUAAAAGUGUUUACAACCUAAAUCGAUUGGAUCUAGGGCAUAACAUUUACAAACAUAUUCAACAAAUUCAAGGGAAAAGAUGGGUUGUUUGAAGGGAAAAUAAAGUAAGAUAUUAGAGGAUUGAUGGAAUUGUAUGAAGUUGAACAGCUAGUGACAGAAAGAGAAGAUAUUCUUGAUGAAGCAGCAAAAUUUAGUGACCAAAUUGUUAGUAACAGAUUGAAGCAUCCUUAUCACAAAAGCAUUGCAUGAUUUACUGCAAAGAAGUAUAUUAGAGAUUUCGAAGGCAUUAAUGGAUGGAGAAAAAAUUGAAAGAGCUCACAAAAAUGAACAUUUCUGUGGCACGUACAGUCCACCAACCAACAAGAACUAGCCAAAAUUUCCAAGUAAGAAGGCAUAAAACUUAUGAAAUUUUCUCGACUAGUUUGAGGAAAACUAAAAAUUGAAUAUUUUGUAAGUUUAGGUGAUGGAAAAACCUUGGUUUGGCUCAGGAAUCAAAGCAGGCUAGGAACCAACCAUUAAAAUGGUACGCAUGGUCCAUGGCCUCCCUAAGCGAUCCAAGCAUGUUGGAGCAAAGGCUUGAACUCACCAAAUCCAUCACGUUUAUUUACAUAAUAGAUGACAUUUCUUAUCUUUAUGCGACACCAGAUGAACUUGCUGUCUUUACCCGAGUUGUACACAUGUAUAAACCAUUUUCUUCUCUAGUUUUAGUGGGGAGAACAAUAGUGGAAAUGCAAUAUGUUUAACUUGAAUAUCUUUUGAUGAUUUUUUUAUUUUUAGCCUUCAAGUUUGAGGAUCGAUUUGUAACCGUAAAUGAAAAAUUGCAGAAAAUUUAAAAAAAGGAAGAACACAAAGAUUUCUGCCCUCAAAAGGGCCCAAAUGUUCAGUCAUGAGACCUAAUCACCCAUUGAGCAUCUAAUAAGGGAUUUAGCUCAAGAUAUACUAAUAUCAACCAAGAAUCAGUACAAAAUGUGCGAAGAAAUCUCAGAUUUCUUCGUGUUUCUCUUGCCUCUUCUCAAAAUAGAAAAACCUCACCAAAUCAGUAUCUAUCAAUUGUACUAAACAACCAGAUUCUAUCACUAAGAACAACCAUUUCAAUCACGAAGAUCGAUUUCAAUUUAGAGAUCAAAACCCUAAUUUUCAAUUAGAAAACAGAGUGAGACGAAAAGACUGAAAGAAGGAUCCAGAGAGUGUGAAUAGUACCAAGGUCAAGUAUAUAUCUGAUCAAUUUAACAGUCACAAUCGAAGGGCUGGAAUGAAGUCAUGUGGAUGGCAAAUUCACACCCCCUCAAAGAGGCUAAUGUCGUGUUUCCAAAAUAUGUUUUUGAUAAAAGGCUAGCAAACCGGUUAUCUAUUAUUGGCCUCAACAAAUAUGCGGCCCAAUAACCCAAAAUUUAAUUAGGCAGCCCAGAAUUCUUAACAAUCUCCACCUAGCUGAGUUGAAUCUUGGUCUUUACUAAUGGAUCUUGUUACUAAAUCAGUUAACUUCACUUGCUCUAAGUUCCUGUAAAAACAAAAAAUUUAAAUCAGUUAACCUUAUCGUAAACAACACUUGAAGUUCUAAAUUUAUCACCCCUUUUUGUGAUAUUUAGAAUCUUCAAGCAAAAUUUAAAUUUGUUUAGAGGCAGUACCUUAGUUCCCAUAUCAGAGAGAUUGAACUCUGUAGGAAUUUUAACCAACUUGAUCAAACCUUUUUCCGCCAUAUCUCGCACAAAAUGAAAUUUUAUGUCUCUAUGCUUGGUUCUAUCAUGAUAUACAGGAUUCCUACUAAGAUAAAUUACACUUUGAUUAUCUGUAUAAAUGUUAACAAAAUUAUUUGCAAAACCAAUUUUAGUUAGUAAACCUCUUAAUCAGAUGCUUUGUUUAACAGCAUCACAAGAUGCAAUAUAUUCAGCUUUUGUAGAUGAUAAGGCAAUUAAUUUUUGUAGUUGUGACUUCCAACUUAUACAUCCAUUACACAAAGUAAAAAUAUAGGAAGAUGUGGAUCUUCUCCUAUCUAAGUCACCAGCAAAAUCCGAGUCAAUGUAACCCUUUAAAGUUAUCUCUUCAUUGCUUCUUCUAUAAAUUAGAUCUAAUUCAGAUGACCCAUUAAAGUAUCUUAACAUCCAUUUUAUUGCAAGCCGGUGAGUUUCACCUGGGUUGGCCAUGAACCUACUUAAAACACUAUUUCCAUGUGCUAGGUCAGGUCUUGUACAGACCAUGAGGUACAUGAUAGAACCUACAGUGUUAGCAUAAGGUACUUUCUCCAUUCUUUUUAAUUCAUCAUCUGUUUUAGGUGAUUGUUCACUAGAUAAUUUAAAGUGAUUAGCAAUAGAAAAAGUAACAGGCUUACAAUCAAGCAUAGAAAAAUUUUCAAGAAUUUUCUUCACAUAAGUUUCUUGUUUUAGCACUAAUAUGUAAUUAUCUCUAUCUCUAUUCAUUUCCAUUCCAAGGAUCCUUUUAGCUUGUCCUAAAUCCUUCAUUUCAAAUUCAAAUUUUAACUUUGAUUUAAUGAAGUCUAUUUCACUUCUAUCAUGACAAGCAAGCAACAUAUCAUCAACAUAGUAACAAAUAAACAUAUUCAGCUCCACUUGAACCUUUAUAAAAGAGACAGGAGUCAUAACGGUUUUUUACAAAACCUAAAGUCUGCACAAAUGAAUUAAAUUUCAAAUACCAUUAUCUGGUUGCUGGUUUAAACCCAUAAAGAGAUUUUUUCAACAAGCAAACCUUAUCUGAUUUUGAUUUAAUUUCAAAUCCUUUGGGUUGAGUCAUGUAUAUUGUCUCAUCAAAUCACCAUUUAGAAAUGCUGUUUUAACAUCAAGUUGAUCUAAUUCCCAGUUAUCAUGAGCAGAUAAAGCCAGUAAAAUUCUAAUUGUAGUGUACUUGGCCACUGGAGAGAAUAUUUCAUUAUAGUCUACUCCUUGUUUUUUAGUGAAACUUUUAGCCACUAAUCUGGCCUUAUAUCUCUUAUUUUCUGAGUUUGAAUCUCCUUCUUUAAUUUUAAAAAUCCAAUUACAAUCUACAAUCUUCCAAAAUCCAUGUUUUAUUUUUAAUAAGGGAAUCCAUUUCCUCAUCCAUAGCUUCCUUCCAAAGCUUAGAAUCAGGAGAAUUAAUGGGUUCAUCAAAAGAUGUAGGUUCAGAAUUUAAGGAGUCAAGUGCAGAAAACAGAGUGAUAAACUCUUCAUUAUUGAAUCUGGUGGAGAAAAUUAUGGUUCUUCUUUCCCUAUCUCUAGCUAGCUAAUAAUCAACAAGAGUAUUUGUUGAAAAUUCAGAUUCACUUUUAGAAUCAUUUUCCUCAUUAUUUAUUUCAGAUUGGGAGUGCUCCACCUCAAGAGAAUCAUCUUGAUUUACAGUAUUUUCAGGUUGAACUUCCAGGAUGGUCUUAUUCUCUGGUGUAGAUUCAGAAAUUUUAGAAUCUUUAGAUUUUAUACAAGGCAUGUCAUUCUCAUUAAAGAUGACAUCUCUACUUAUUAUCACUUUAAAACGUUUUUGGUCUUUAACCCAGAAUCUAUAGCCUUUGGUUUUCUUUCCAUAACCCAAGAAAACACAUUUUUGGGAUCUAGGCUCAAGUUUGCCUUCACUUUGAUGGGAAUAGGCAGCACAACCAAAAACUUUGAUAUUUGCUAUAGUCAGGUAUUUUUUCAGACCAUAACAUUUCAGGGACAUGAAAAUCAAUAGCACUAGAUGGACUUCUAUUAAUUAAAUAGGUGGCUGUGUUUAGACCUUCACCCCAAAAAACUUUUGAAAGUCCAGAACUAUACAACAUACACCUGACCUUUUCUAGCAAGGUUCUGUUCAUUCUCUUAGUAACUCCAUUUUGCUGAGGAGUGUAUGUUAUAGUUCUAUGUCUUAGAAUUCCAACCUCUUUACAAAAUGAAUUAAAUUCAAAAUACAGAAUUCAAGACCAUUGUCAGUUCUUAAUGCUUUGACUUUCUUGUUUGUUUGAUUUUUAAUCAUAGAUUUCCAUUGCUUAAACUUUUGAAAAGUUUCAGAAUUCUGUUUUAAAAGAAAUGUCCAUAUCUUUCUUGAAUAAUCAUCUAUUAUAAGAAAAUAGAACCUAAAUCCACUUAGGGUAUUUACUGAUGCUGGACCCCAAAGGUCAGCAUGUAAGUAGUCUAGUAUAGAAGUGGAUUUAUGGGUUCCAGUUUUAAAGGGUAGUCUUUUCUGUUUUCCAAUUAAACAGUUUUCACAGAAGUCUAAUUUUUCAAUAUUAUCCUUUCCAAAACAUCUAAGUUUAUUUAAAAUGAUUAAUCCAUGUUCAGAAAUGUGUCCCAUUCUUUUAUGCCAAAGUAAGGAUUUGUUAAACUUAUAGUUUGAGGCAGUGCUAUACUGACUUAAAGCAGGCUCAGCAUGGAUAGUGUAAAUUCCAUUUAUUUUUGGAAAGGAGAUGACUCUCUUUUCCCCUAAAGUUAAGCUUAGAAGACCCUUGUGAAUAUAGAUAUUGUAUUUCUCAUCUAAUUCUCCCAAGGAAAUAAGAUUCCUUUUGAGUUCAGGAACAUAUCUUGUAUUUUCUAGUUCAAGAAUAUAGUUGUUAUCUAACAACAACUUAACUUUACCAAUACCUUCUAUUUGACAACUCAUGUCAUUCCCGAUCUGAAUUUGCCCUCCAUUGAGGUCAACAAACUCAGAGAACCAUUCUUUUAAAUGACACAUGUGAAAUGUGCAUCCAGAGUCAAGGACCCACUCUCUUGAGUCUCUUUUCGUGGUAUUAACAAGAACCACCCCCUGGAUAUCAGGUUUAUUUUUGCAAGCAACGGUUGCAGAACCAUCAAAGUUAUUUCUAUCCUUCAUGUCUGAAAUUUUCUUAAAACAUUCUUUUAUUAAGUGUCCUGUUUUGCCACAGUAGUAGCAUUUUCUAAUCUGAUUCUUUGAUUUCACAUGAUUCUUGUUCUUGUCUUUGAGCUUAUAAGUAGGGAAUUUUCCUUUCUUGUGAGGAUUGGGAUAGUAUUGGUUACUUUUCUUAUUGUGAUUUAGUUUUUCUUUUAUAUGAAGCUCUUCACCAGACUUAGAGUCUUUUGACUCAACUUUUAAUUCAAGCUCCUUAUUUCUUAAGGCUGAUGUUACUAUAUCCACAGUAAGUUCUUGCCCCCAUAUUCUAAGGCAUUUCUAAUGUCUCUAUAUCUUUCAUUAAGAGAGAUUAAUAGAGCAACAACUUGUUUGUCAUUAGAAAUUUCCUCAUCACAAUUGUCUAAGUCCUGAAUCAUUUUAGUGAAUUUGUCAAGAUUUUCUUCUAAGCCAGAUGAUGGGUCAAAUCUUAAGUUGUAAAAUUGCCUCAAGAGAUAACAUUUAUUUGGCAUGGACUUAGUCAAGUAGAGUGAUUCUAAUUUUGUCCACAAAGCCUCAGUAGAAGUGUUUUCUCCCACUUUCCUAAUCAUACUAUUAGACAGCUGAAGAAAAACAGUAUUCCAUGCAAUAUCAUCUAAUUCUCUCCUCCUAUAGGCACUAAUUUCAGCAGCCCAUGUGUUAUCAAGGGCUGCAGCACAUCUUUGCUGUAGUAGCAGUGCUAUCAUUUUCUGCGCCAGAGAUUAAAAUCCCCAGUACCAUUCCAUGUCUUUAUUUCUAGCUUAUAUGCACUUGACAUGUUGUCAGGUAAGUAUGCAGACAUGCAACUAUACAGUACACAGUAUAUAUUUAUGAUUCAGACAGAUAAUUGUAAGUAACAAACAGGCAGAUUUCUGAACAGAAUAGGAGAAUGCAGUCAUUCCUAUCCAAACAAUAAUUCAAGAAACUAAGUGUUAAUUAUGAAAAGGUGUAAGGAACAGUGACCCUUUAAAUCCACUGCUCCCUCAGAUUCCCAGACCUUCAGUGGGGUCUUGUACAAAAGAAAGCAGAGGAGAAUCACUUACCUUAAUAACCAAUUUCAAGAUUAACAAGAAACCAAUAAUAGAUUAAAAGUAAAAGGUUUAGAAAUAUACCAGAAAUUGAAAUUGUAAAAAUCUCAGUAUGUAAAAUGUGACCGGACUAUCGGAAUGUAAGCAGCCUUUCACUGCAUAAGCAAUAAAUAAACGAGUUACUAAAACUUAGUGGCAACUCAACUAGAAUCGAAAUGAGUCAACUCGACUCGCCAGACUCAGUACGAGUCAGAUCACUCAAAUAGACUCAAUUGUGAGUCAACUCAUAAAUUGUCUAGAAACUCAAUAGCGAAGAACGAAUCUUCAGUGAAAUCGAUGAACAGAGGAGAAAAUAUUCAAAGACAGUAUAGAUCCAACCAACAGUUGAAUUGAGAGUUUAACUCAAACUAUCAAAAAAUUUUAAACAUCAAAUUUUGCAUUUGAAACCAAGAAACUGUAGAUCUUGAAAAAGGUUUUCGAGAGAACAUAAAAACUAGGAUUUGAAACAAAAGAUUUUUAGAAAUCAAAAAUGGUUUCAUAACCAAAGGAUCUGAUACCACUGUUAUUUUUAACCUUCAAGUUUGAGGAUCGAUUUGUAAUCGUAAAUGAAAAAUUACAGAAAAUUAAAAAAAUGGAAGAACACAGAGAUUUUUCGCCCUCGAAAGGGCCCGGAUGUUCUAUCAUGAGACCUAAUCAUCCGUUGAGCAUCCACUAAAGGAUUUAGCUCAAGAUCCACUAAUAUCGACCAAGGAUCAAUACAAAAUGUGCGAAGAAAUCUCAGAUUUCUUCGUGUUUCUCUCGCCUCUUUUCAAAAUAGAAAAACCUCACCAAAUCAGUAUCUAUGAAUUGUACUAAACAAUUAGAUUCUAUCACUAAGAACAACCAUUUCAAUCACGAAGAUUGAUUUCAAUUUAGAGAUCAAAAUCCUAAUCUUCACUUAGAAAACAGAGAGAGACGAAAAGACUGAAAGAAGGAUUCAGAGAGUGUGAAUAGUGCCAAGGUCAAGUAUAUAUCUGAUCAAUUCAACGAUCAUAAUCAAAGGGCUGGAAUGGAGCCACGUGGAUGGUAGAUUCACACCCCCUCAAAGAGGCUAAUGUCAUGUUUCCAAAAUACGUUUUUUGAUAAAAGGCCAGCAACCCGGUUAUCUAUUAUUGGCCUCAACAAAGAUGCGGCCAAUAACCCAAGAUUUAAUGAGGCAGCCCAGAAUUCUUAACAGAUUUAAAUAUUUAAAUUGUGUACAGGUGGGACUAUGCGGCUAUUCACAUGCUACCAAAACCCUGGAAGAUGUGCUACAAAGCCCUUCUUCACACCACAAAUGAUAUAGGCUACAUGAUCUAUAAAAACCAUGGAUAUAAUCCAAUUGAUUCCCUAAAAUCAACAGUAAGAUAGAUACUCUUUUUCGUCCAUAACAAUACGUUGCCCUGUUUGGUUUUGAUAAAAAAACAGAUUUUUCGAAUGUUUCGAUAAAAAUUGAUAACAUGUAUGGCUAAUAUUUCAUUAAAAACUAUAGGUCAAUAAAAUGUGUGAUUAAAAUUAAUUAUUAACUUUAACUUAGAUUAAAAUCUAAUAUUUAUUUUGAAAAAAACUAGGGCCUAAUAUAUCUCUGCUUAACAUGAUAGAUGACAUUAAUGGCAUAUCCUUCAUUUGUUGUAGUGGGCAAGUCUGUGUGACGUGUUCCUAGUAGAAGCUAAAUGGUUUGCUUCGAGGCACUUACUAACCUCCAAUGAGUACCUAGAAAAUGGGAAGGGGAGUUCAGGAGUACAUGUGAUACUCGUUCACAUCUUCUUUCUUUUGGGAAUUAAUAGAAAAACAGGAGGGGCCGUUCAGGUGGAUGAUAUAUCAGAGCUCAUGUCAUCUGUGGCUGCUAUUCUCCGUCUCUAGGAUGACUUUGGAAGUGCCAAGGUAAUUACAUACUAAAAUUUUAUAUUAUAAAUCCAUAGUACUCUUUCCCUCUAUGACAAUUUAACAUUUUAUAAGAGACCAUCAUCUAGAAUUUUAAUGAUUAUGAUCGAUACUUCCUUGUUAAUUAAUUACACGUUGAAUGUUAAUUUGUUUCGUAUCAAACUAAUGACAGGAUGAGGAGCGAGAUGGAGACGAUGGUUCAUACAUAGAGUGCUGCAUGAAAGAAAAUCCAGGAUCAACCAUUGAAAUUGCGCGAGAGCGUGUUGCUGAUAUGAUAUCAAGUGAAUGGAAGCAUCUUAACAAGGAGUGUUUUCGUUUAAAUAAAAACUCAUCAAGUUCAUCUUUCACAAAAGCUUCUCUUAAUUUUGCAAAAAUGUUUCCUCUUAUGUACAGUUAUGAUGACAACCAUCGGCUUCCAAACCUUGAAGAGUUCGUCAAACACUCUUUGAUGAUAAUUUCUUGGUGCACAGUUUUUAAAGAAUAGCACAAAUGAUGAAAAC
Molecule: long non-coding RNA, 22604 nt
Filed under: Olea europaea subsp. europaea
Lineage: Eukaryota; Viridiplantae; Streptophyta; Magnoliopsida; Lamiales; Oleaceae
Source: RNAcentral